GACCAUUUUUAUAUGCAAGCUCCUGGAAUGCCUGUGGUUUCUCCAGCACCUGGGUCCUGCUGGCAACCAGCAGCACCCAGUGGCCAGCAGCGUACUCUUUCACCUCUUCUUGGGUGACUUUGUGGAAUGCUCCAAUGUGACAUCUCCCUGUGAACGCCUUUCCUGACACCCUAAAAAGUGUCAGGAAUUUCCAGCAAGUUCCAGAGAGCAGGUUUCCAGCAAGUUUGGUCAGUAUGACACCACAGCGAUAUCUCUGCCAUUCACUGAACUUGGAUUCUUCCUUCUUCAGUGAGGUGAAGAAACUGAGGCUUGGAGGGUCCGAAUAACUUGCCCAAUAUCACAGAAAAGAUGUUCAAGAAAAAGAACAACUUCAGUGGAAGAAGAAGAAGAUAGGAGCCCAGGUCCUGUGUUUCACCAAGACAGCCGUGCAAAGCAGAUGCUGCCAAAAAGGUGCAAAGUGGUUUGUCAGCUCUUCUGCAUGUUCUAACAAAUUAGACAUGCAUCCCAAAAGGUUUCCUAGACUUUCCAUCACCACCAGUGAAUUCUGAGUGACAAUAGUGUGGAAUUUGGAAGAAUGGAAGAGAAACUGAAGUGGAGAGAUGGUGAAAGAGAAGAAAAAAUGAAGAAAGAUGCUUGCAAAAAUACUGCUGUGGGUCCUGAGAUGAGGAUUCUGGGAGGGCUGAAAUGGAUGCCCCUGACAGCUCCCUUUGAGUUCCUGUUCAUCUGAAGUACACCAGCUUUCUAGAUAUGCUGUCACUUUCCUUCUGCAGAGCCACAGUGGUGUCCUGUCUUCUCAGACCUCUUCUCACCUCAAAUCACUUAGGACUCGGCCACCAGACAGAUUUGGGAUUUCAGAACUUUUCAGAUGUUAGAAAGUUCUUUUCUAAAUGUGAUGAGGAAUUACGGAAUCAUAAAAUGGAAGCAGAGUUAAACUCAGACAUGUGGGCACUCAAGGCAAUUAGGAGCUUUCUGCGAUGAGAAAGGGAUCAGACUGAUCCUUAAGACUUUAUGCAACCCCAGAGUAUUGCAGCCACCUGCAUGCCGAAGGUGUCAAGAGUGUUCUCACUGCUGCCUAUAGGAGGGUCUUCAGCCUCCAGUGAUCCAAAGUACCAGGCUGACCUGUGACUGCUUCGGCCAACUGAAUAGGGAAGAGUGAUGCUGUGCUGUUUCCAGGCCUGUUCUUUAAAAGUACUUGGAAGCUUCUGCCUUGGCCUCUUUGUGCCUGAGUUGCUGUAUAAGAAUCUGACUACCUUGCUGGAGAGACCUUGUGGAGAAGACUUGACCUUAUAUGCAGAGGUAGAGGGGCCCUGGUUAGUCCAGCCAUCUAGCCAUCCUGUCAAAAUAGCAGGAGUAUGAUGGCCAAUGGAUCCAAAACCUAUCCUAUAUCUACAUGUUGGUGGCCACAUUAAUCUGACAUCUGACAGCAAGAGCGAUGAUUGGGUUCACUGGAAAUCUUUGUGAAGUACGAGUGAAGUCCUUGUGAAGUCAGAGUUUCCUCUUCAUGCCUCUACUCCUAUGCAGUUUGACCUCUCAGUGUGCAGCUGGUGAUAGAUGGAAACCCUUGUUCAUAAGCUUUGUGGCACUGUCGGCAGGAUGAGGGGACUUCUGGAUCCUCACUGGUCACUGUGGCAGAGUGGUUGGUGUUGUCUGCUCCCUAGACAGGAACCCACUGAAGAAUCUGACAUUUUUUGAUAUGCUGGCAUUCAUUGUUACAGCCCAUCAUCCCAGCCAUCAAUCCAGGACAUGGGGUCUGUGCCCACGGUGGGAAGGAGGAGGGGGAAGCUGGCUUUGUUCUGACGUUGGGCUUCUUCUGCUCCACCAGUACUUUCUGUGGGGGAAAUAGGUAAAGAAAUGGCUGUUCAGAUGAGAAGAUGUGUCAGUAAACUUUUGCUACAGUGAUGCUGCAAAACAAAUCACUGGUGACUUUCAGUGGCACACAGCAAUAAACAUUUAUUUAGCUCAGGGAUUGACAAUCUUUUUUUUUUUUUAAAGGGCCAAAUAGUAAAUAUUUUAGGUGUUUCAGGCCAUACAGUCUCUGAACUCUGAACUUGUAGCACAACAGUAGCCUUAGAUGCUAUGCAAAUGGAGGAGCAUGACUGUGUUCCAAUAAAACUUUAUUUAUGGACACUAAAAUUGGAAUUUCAUGGAAUUUUUAUAUGUUAAGAAAUAUUAUACUUUGAUUUUUUUCAACCACGAAGUUGAAUGGUCUGUGAGUUUUUUUCACAAGUCAUACAAAAACAGAUGGUGGGUCAGACUUGGCCCAUGGCCAUAGUUGGCUGAACCUUGAUUUAGCUCAUGAAUCUGCUCUGGGUUGGGCUCGGCUGCUCUGCGCUGCACUCAUCUGCAGUCGGCUGUGAGUUGGCUAGGCAGCUCUGCUGGUGGUGCCAGGGCUCAUUCACAUGUAUGGGGAUUGUUUGCCAUUGGCUGGUCCACAGUAGCCUUGGCUGGGAUGGCUGCGGCACGUUGGCUCUGCCGUGUGAGUAGCCAAGCAGGUCAGCCUGAGCAUGCUCUCUUAGCAGUGGUGGAGACACAUGAAUCUAAGUGGAAAUGUGCAAGCACUUUCAGAAACCUCUGCCUGAAUUAUGUUUGCCAACAUCCCAUGAGACAAAAUCAGUCACUAGGCUAAAGCCACAGUCAGGUGAGUUGGGGCAGAAUGCCCCUCAGAUUGAGAGGGCACUGCCAAGGUACAUGGCAAAAGUGAUGGAUGUGCUGGAGCCAUUAAGACACUCAACCCACCAAAGGACCUAAAUUGGGGAUAAUUUUUGUUUGUUUGUUUGUUUGAGAUAGGGUUUCACUCUGUCACCCAGGCUGGAGUGCAGUAGUAUGAACACGACUCACUGCAGCCUCGACUUCCCAGGCUCAAGUGAUCCUCCUGCCUCAGGCUCCCAAAGUGCUGGGAUUAUCAGCAUUAGCCACCACACCCAGCCAGUUAUUUUAUAUUUGACUUUUUAUUUUCUUAGAGAUGAGGUCUUUACUCUGUCACCUGGACAGGAGUGCAGUGGCACCAUUUUAGCUCACUGCAGCCUCAAAAUUCAGGACUUAAGUAAUCCUCCUGCCUCAGCCUUCUUAGUAGCUGCGACUACAGGCAUGUGCUACCACAUCCAGCUCAGUUUUUAAAUGUUUUGUAGAUUUGGGGGUCUUACUAUUUGCCCAGGCUGAUCUCAAACUCCUGGGCUCAAGUGAUCCUCCCACCUCAACCUCCCACAGCGCUAGGAUUACAGAUGUUAGCCACCUUGCCCAGCUAAGAAUUUAAAAAAUAUUCUACUUGUGAUCCUUUCUCAUGUUGUGAUGCUAGACCAGCUGGGGUAUGAUUGUGAAACAUGUAAGUGGGGGACACAGACAUGGUGAAACAAAUAAGUGUGAUCAGAGAGGGGACAAUGUGUGUGCAAAGGCACAGAGGCAAGAAAGAGCUUCUUUUUGGUGAGACAGUGCUAGGUGGAGUGAGUAUAAUGGUUGGAGAGGAGAGUAGGGAAGAGCGGGCAGACUUCAGAGUGGAUCUGAUAAAACUCAGUAGUAUUUUGGUUGCAACGGGCUGGGUCAUGUCUGAAGAAGCAGCCAUUUGAGAAUGAGCAAAAAUGAGGAUCCUGGUUUUUAAACACCUUAGCAGUAGUGUGGUCCUGUGGUAGGGAUGUGCAAAGCACUGGACUGCCCGCCUCCUUUUUCUGUUCGGUGAAGGGUGGGGUGAGGAAGAGCGCUCAGAGUGCACAGAUGGAUUCUCAAUUCAGGGUGAAACAGGAUUUUAGAUCCAGUUUCCUUUUAUAGUGGUUUUAGAGCAAAGAAUCAGGGACUCUGCUGUUUUCUGGUAUAAAAUGAGAGCAGCCAUACACUUCCUAUGCCCUUGAAUCAAGAUCAGACAAUUCCAGGGAAGAGCUAAGUUUUAACCUUUGAUCUCUAGGGGUAAAGUUUUUCUUUACUUUCUCCCUCCCUCUCUUCCUCCUUCCUCUCUUCCUCUCCACCCCUUCUUUUUUGUUUACGUUUUGAGCUGAAUAACAGGGGAAAAUGGGGCCUGAUAUACUACAAACUCCAACUAGAGUCCUUGGCAUCAUGGAAAAUUCCUUGACUUGUUUUGCAAAGGUUGGCUGCACCAUGAGAUUCCAUUGUUUCAAAGUGGAGUCAUGUAUAUGACAUAGGUUUUGCAUUAGGACUCUGGGGGAUUUUCCUUAUGAAACAAAAUGUGCAAUCUGCUUAGUUUCCCAGUGGCAAAGCAGAAAACUAGAUCUAUUUGUUAUAGAACUUUACGCUUCAGUUUUCCCCUCAUAAUUACAGAUGUGACUUUGAAGCUCACUGCAGCAAAUUCAAUGAGACCUUACAAUUUAAAAUGAAAAUAAAAUAUAUUUAGAAUGAAGCAUCAUAGGUUUAAGAAUAGAAUACUUUAAAAACGCAAAAAACAAGAAGUUAAAUGUGUAUGUUACCUAAAUGUUAAUGGGUUUCCCUUUUCCUUAUCUCCUAAGUCCUGCUGUCCAAGAUCCCUUGAUUCUUUGCCUAGAAUCAAUGAUGUCAUUCAAAGGGAAUGUUUGGAGGCACUGUCCUAGUUCACCCGCAGCAUUUCAGAUGGCAUUAGCGUCACUAGGAAAACAGACUUGAAACCAGGUUCAAGAAGAAUAAUAAUUUGCAUUUUGCUUUUAUAGUUUGCUGUCUUCCCCUCUAGAUUAUCUAGUUUAAAAAGGAACUUUCAUCAUCCUUGAAGUUCUAUGUUGAUCAGACAUUUUGUCCCUAUUAUUUCCUCUUUCUUCACAUUACGUCAAUGAGAGAGUUGAGAAUAGGUCUGAAAGAAGUCAGGUUAUGAGCUAACAGGAUACUGGGGAGUGAUACAUUAGAGGCGGUCAGUUCUGUGAAAGAUGCUAUUGAUGCUGAGUGCGUCUGCCUAGGUGGUCUCAUCCAGAGUUUCCAUGCCACAAAUACGCUGCUGACUCCUCAGUCGCUAUUUCUUCUUAUGCCUUAGAUCUCCGUAUUCGAACCAUUGUCUGACAUCAUGAGACUGUGCAUGUCAACCUCAAACUCUUUGUGGCUAAAAGAGGUUCUGCAUUCACCUGACCCCAUCCCUACCCUUCCCAGAUUAGUAAAUAGCACCACCAUCCACUCAGCUGCUUCCUGGAAAUCUUCGGAGUCACCUUCAUUCCUUCCUCCCUUCCUUUAUUUCAUACCUCACCUGCAAUCCAUCAGCAGGUCCUGCAGCUGCACAUGGUAUCCCAAGCUGAUGACUUCUCAGCACCUCCUGGCUGCAGCCCAGCCAAGGCAUGUAGCAUCCUUCUCACUGGCCUCUCUUCCUCCCCCAUAGCCAAUCUUCGGACCACAGCUAGAAAUAUUUUUUUCAAUGAGUGAAGAUCAACCUACUCCCCUGCUUCAGCUCUUUUUAUGUUUCCCUUUUCUCACUUAAAAUAGAAUGUAAGCUUCUUACCCAGGGCUACAAGGAUACACAACUCAACCUUCCUCCCAUUCCCCACUCAGCCUCUAUCUCUACCUACACUCGCUGUCCCUUGACCUUCCAAAUGUACCGUGUGUCAAGGCUUUUGCUCUUGCUGCUUGAAAUGUUCUUUGAGAAAAUCCCUGCCUUUUUUCUCAGCAUUCAGGUGCCAGCUCAAAUAUCAGACCCUCAGAGAAUCCUUCUCAGAUUAUCCUAGCAAGAGCAAUAAUAUUGUCCCUGCUCCACUCUGUUUGUUUUUUAUUUUUAUUAUUUUUUUUUUUUGAGAUGGAGUCUCUGUCACCCAGGCUGGACUGCAGUGGGGUGAUCUCGGCUCACCGCAACCUCCACCUCCAGGAUUCAAGCAAUUCUCCUGCCUCAGCCUCCUGAGUAGCUAGGAUUACAGGCUCACACCACUGCUCCUGGCUAAUUUUUGUAUUUUUAGUAGAGACAGGGUUUCACCAUGUUGGCCAGGCUGGUCUCGAACUCCUGACCUCAGGUGAUCUGCCCAUGUCGGCCUCCCAAAGUGCUGGGAUUACAGGUGUGAGCCGCCGCACCCGGCAUCUAUCUGUUUUAAUGGUUAUUUUCUUCUUCACACUUAAAAUUCUUCAAAAUACCUGCAUGUUUAUUGCCUGUCUUCCCUACUAGAAUGGAAACUUCUUGCAGACGUGGAUUUUUGUCUUGUUCAUUGUGGUGUGCCUCGCAGCUAGACAGUGCUUAGUACAACACAGGUACUCAAUAAAUGUUUGCUGAAUUAAUGAAAAAACACUAAUAAGGUAGGAUUUACCUUGAUGAUCUGGUUUUUUAAAAGCCCGCAAUGAGUGUUGAAUUCCACCAGGUUCAGCUACCCUUCUUCCAUUUCUAGCUCAUGAGGCCCAGGCCCAUGUUGCCGAGCCCUGGUUCCUUCUGGUCUGUACUCUCAUCAUCCCCUCUGGAUCAGCACUACCUCCACCAAAUACUUGUCCAGCUCCUAUUAUAUGACAGGUGUUGUUCUGAGCCUCGGGAGACAGAACUGAAUAAAAUGCACACAAGCAUCUACUUUCACAGAGCUUAUAUUCUAUGUUUUGGCCCAAAUCUACCUUUGUACCACACAAACAUGAUAGAAUCAGCUCUGCAUCAGGGUGGCCUUGAUGGGAAUUGGUUCAGACAGUUUACCAGUUUCUCCUAUUUGUCAGAAAUGUAAGGGGUUCCUCAACUGGAUUGCUUGGUUGUCCCAUAAAAGAAAAGUGAAGCGGAGCCUGGCCUAGGAUAAUGCCAGGAUGGCCUUAAGAAUGGAGUACAAAUAGCAAAGAAAUGGAAUCAACCUAGGUGCCCAUCAACAUGAAUUAGAUAAAGAAAAUGUGGUAUAUAUAUAUAUAUGCCAUAGAAUACUGCACAGCCAUAAAAAAGAAUGAAAUCAUGCUCUUUGCAGUGACAUGGAUGGAGCUGGAAGCCAUUAUUCUAAGCCAAUUAGUGCAACAAUAGAAAACCAAAUAACAUGUUCUCGCUUAUAAGUGGAAGCUAGACAUUGAAUACACAUAGACAUAAAGAUGGGAACAGUAGACACUGGAGACUGCUAGAUGAGGCGGGAGGGAAGAGGACAUGGGCUGAAAAGUAUUGUGAUAGGUACUAUGCUCACUACAUGGGUGACAGCUAAUUUGUACCCCAAACCUCAGCAUCAUGCAAUAUACCCGUGGAACAUACCCCUUAAUCUAUAAUAAAAGUUGAAAAUUUUUUAAAAAAAGAAAGAACGGGGCACAAGCAGGAGAACAACAAGGUCUGCUUGGCACCCACUCAGGGCCUCGCCCUGCUAGCAGCUGAGUCAGCCCUGUUUAAGAGUUAUGGGUGGACCUAACGCAGUGACCCAGGCAUAGGCAUUCCAGCAUCUACUUCCUGACUGGAGAAGGAGGGCCUUGGCUGGCCCAGGCUGGCUAAAGCUGGCCGUCCUGGGUUUGUCUUGGCUGUCUGUGGGCAAAGCUGCAUUUUAAACUUGAAAUAAUGGUAAAUUCACUAGUAACACUGUUAGAGACAAUGUUUAAUUCGAAAACUCCUGUGCAGUCCAAGUAAAUUAAAUUAUGAGGAUAAAGUUUCCAUCUCAAAGAACAACUAACUGCUAGGAUGACUUCCAACUUAAAAAAAAAAGAAAAAGAAAAAGUACAUUCACCAUAUUUAGAAUCACUUCAUUGUCCUAAAGAGUCAACUUUUUCCUACAAAAAAAAAAAAAGAAACAUUCACUUGACAAUAUCCCAUGAGACCGCCAUUCUAGGGAACCUGAGUGAUAGAGUGGCAGAGUCCUCUGAAGUCACCCCCUUUUCACCUGCACAGGCUGACUGUUCCAUGGGCCCUACCCCACGACCACCCCCUCCUUGUAACUUCACUGCCUGGCAAGUUAAGCGUGAUCCUAAGGGCUGAGGGAAGUUCUGGAAUUUAGGGUGAAUGAGAAGUGUAUUCCCAGAUGAGCUGCUCCUUGUAAGUGAUCAAGCUUCCUAAUAUUUUAAGUAUUUGCCGGGUGCGGUGGCUCAAGCCUGUAAUCUCAACGCUUCGGGAGGCCAAGGCGGGAGGAUCACUUGAGGUCAGGAGUUUGAGACCAGCCUGGCCAACAUGGUAAAACCCCAUCUCUACUAAAAAUACAAAAAAUUAGCUGGGUGUGGUGGUGCACGCCUGUAAUUCCAGCUACUCAGGAGAUUGAGGCAGGAGAAUCACUUGAACCCUGGAGGCAAAGGUUGCAGUCAGCCGAGAUUGCCCUCUGCACUCCAGCCUGGGUGACAGAGUGAGACUUUGUCUCAAAAAAAAAAAAAAAAAAAAAAAAAAUUUAAGUAUUUGUCAUCUCCCUUGAGACAGAGCAGAUUAAUAAUGGAAAAGUGCGGGGGCGGGGGGCGGGGUUCUCUCUACGUCCUGCAGCUACAGUCAGAGCUCUUCCUCUAUAUUUGCCAUGUCACAGCCACUUGCACAUAGAAGUCCCAGUUGUCCUGAAUACCAGUGUGCCCUUCUCAAUCUUAGGUUUGAGAUACUGGUGUCUGCUGUAGGCUCUUUCGCCUUGACUUUGGUAGGUUACCUCUGAAUAGUCCUUUAUAAAUAAAACAAAAGGAACACUACCUAUGGUGGCUCUAGUUUUAGAAGGAGGGCAGAUUCAUGGCUUACACUUGGAGACGCUAGAUUUCCUUAAGUUCGUUGUGCUUUUUAGUAAUUGCUGAAAUGUCUCACAUAGAGGCUAAAUUCAGUCACUAUAUUACUGAGUGCCUAAAAAUUUGGCUUUAUGCCUUAUUUUUAAAUCAUAGCAAUGUAUAAUUUUGGUUAUGUCAUAUCCAUGUAAAAGUCUCCUUUUCUCUUUGUAGAUGUCUUUUAAGGCCUCUUUCAGUUCUAAACAUUUGGAGAUUCCAAAUAGUUUGCAUUUGGGGUUUGUUUGGACUGUUGUUAAUCUGUGGAAAUCCUGAGGAACAAGAAUGGCUUGUUUCUUUGUUUACCUUUAAGGUGGUUUUCCUCCUGGGUGCCUGUUCACCUCCUGAGGAGGGAAAAUUGGGUCAUCUCUAUGUUAUUUAAGGCUGCUCACCUUAAGGGUACUCCCUUAAAUAGGUUGUUAUUCCACAUCUGUCAUCUGUACUAGAACAAAAGUAAAUUCUCACACUCGACUUCAGAGUAGGGGUUUGCUCAAUUGCUUCUUAUCAAAGUUUCUAAGAACUGAGUUUUUUCAGUUAUUUCUUGAGUUUACACAUUCCAGUUUUAUUUAAUCAAAGGAACUGUGUGGGAAAACAGCAGUGUAUAAAAUAUUCAUUCACAGCAGUGAUAGUGCAAUUGAGUAACAGCAGCAGCUGCCCUGAACACAUGGCUGUGAGAACACAAUUAAAAUUUCAACACACUUUGUGAAACACUUUUCUAUACAGCUCAGCUUUCAAAGUCAUGAGGGAAUGUAUAUGGUGCUUAAGUGUAAACUCCUACUUGGAGUCCUGUUGGUGGUUUAAUGAUGAAAAAUAUCUUUUCUUUAAUUCAAAUAUAUUGACCCUAUAUGUAUUUUGAUAGCUGCUAAAAUUCCUAGGGUUAUUCUCAAGGUAGACCUUCAGAAUAUAAAUGCAAAGAUUCUGAAAAUUUCAUGUACAUAAGAGACAACCAGUAAAUAUGUUAAAAAGGCAGAUUUGGAUCAAUUGUUGAUACACUUUUAGGUAGUACCAGGUUUUGGGCUAUUUUGUGUCUUUUUGGUGAACAUAUGUGUUUCUGUUGGGCAUCUAGGAGUAGCAUUUCUGCAUUUAAGGUAGCCAUAUAUUCAGCACUAGUAAAUACUGCCAAAAGUGUUCCAAGAUGAUUUUAUCAACUUAUAGUCUCACUGCCAUGUUAGUGUUUAAGAGUUUCGGUGGAUCCACGUUCUUACCAACACUUGGUGUUUUCUGUUUUUAUUUUAGCCAUUCUAUUGGUUAUACAAAGGUACAGUCAUGUGCCAUAAAAUGAUAUUUUGGUCAACAACGAACCAUGCAGACAAUGGUGGUCCCAUAAGAUUAUAAUAUAUUUUUGCUGUAUCUUUUCUAUAUUUAAGUAUAUUUACAUACACAAAUACUUCCCAUUGGGUUACAACUACCUACAAUAUUUAAGACAAUAACAUGCUGUACAGGUUUAUAACCUAGGAGCAAUAAGCCAUACAAUAUAGCCUAGGUAUGUAGGAGAUUAUAUCAUCUAGGUUUGUGUAGAUACACUCUGUGAUGUUCACACAAUGACAAUACUGCCUAAUGAUGCAUUUCUCAGAAUAUAUCCCCAUCAUUAAGUGACGCAUGACUGUAUUUCAUUAUAAUUUAGAUUUAAAUUGAAUGGAUACAUUUUGGUAUAGUCAUGCAAUAGAAUACCAUUCAGCCAAAGAGAGUGAACAGUCUAUAAUGACAUGCAACAAUGUGGAUGAAUCUCACAAUCUGUGAAAAAAGCCAGACACAAAAGAAUGCAGACUGCAUGAGUCCAUUUAUAGACAGUACCAAAAAACCCAGGUGAAAGUAAUCUAUGGCAUUAGCAAUUAAGAUACGGGUUGGCCUUGAGGAGAGUGAGUAGACUGUGCGUGGAGAGAGCAGAGGGGCUUCUGGGAUAUCAGUGAUAUUAUUCUUGAUCUGAGUGCUGGCUUUGCAGAUGGGUUUAGUUGUGAAACUCCAGCAAGCUGUCCACUUUAUGCUGUGUGCACUUUUCAGUAUGUAUAUUAUUCUUUAUUUAAAUUUUUUUUUAGAGUACAGAUUUCUAGGCCUUUACUGUGAGAUGUGGUCCUUUGAUGGGACCUGGGAGUUUACAUGUUUGACAAGCACUCAGGUGAUUGGGAUGCAGGUGGCCUCAAAGUGCACUUUGAGAAACAUUGGUAAUUGCAUUCAGUGCAGAGAUUUUUAAAGCAUUCAUCAGCUCUUCAAAAUAAUUUAAUCAGCUGCUUUAUAUACUGCAGCUAUUUUUGGUCAUUUCAGAGAUGGUUUCACUCAUCCCACCCCCAUCCCACUUUCACCUUCUGAGAGCGAAUCAAUCCUGGAAAAAUGAAAACCCCAAGUGAGCCCCACGUUGGAAAGAGUUGCAGCUUAUACUCAGUGAGGAAAGGACAAUCAAGUGAGAAAGAAAUCCAUUGGUGGGGAAAAACCCCAUCAAGUGCAGGAAUCAUAGAAACCCUCUCUGGGAGGAGAACUGACCUUUUCUGAUGAAAACUCAUUUCAUUUAUUUAGCCACGGGUGACAGAGUGUAUCUGAGUCUGAGGCAUUUGGUGGAGGCUCUGUAAAAACUAGGUUAAGGACUGAAUCAAAAUCUCUUCCAAUUACACGAAGGAGGAAGCUAAGAAUGCAAAUAACUGUAAAGCUAUUGCUUGUUGUGACUAAAAGUCCUCCACAUAGUAAGGCCUAAAUCAGCUUUCAUUUUAUUGCUAUGGGGAAGGACAGAGCUACCCAACACAAUUAUACAGACAAGUUUUUAAGGGAACAAAAACAGUGAAAAAAAAAAUCACUCAAUGCUUGUUUAGAGCUUGCUCUAUCCGCCCAAGUGCUGAGAAAGUGUUCUCAAAAGUCAAGAGGGAAAGAGUUCUUACUUGAUAAAAAACUGUUGGCUUUUAAAGGGUCAGUUAUUCUCCUUGAAGACACAGGGGUAUGUACCUGAUUUACCUAUAGGCAGGCUGGUAUUAAGUUGAUUUCACUGGUAUGUCUACCCCAAUGAUUAAAAAAUCUGAAAUAAUUUUGUACUUGUUGGAAAAUAGCCCCAGCCCAGGGCUCCUUGAGAACCCCCCAUUCACUGUCCACAUUGCUUGGCCCUCCUCUGGGAUUCCUCAGAACUCCCGACAGUACAGCAACUAAAGGGUUAAUGUCCAGCAAUUGAGAGACCUCCAACCCUGUCCAGCCACAAGCUACCUUAGAGGUCAUUGCUUUGUGGUGAUACCUGUGAAGGGGAGAAAUGGCCUUUUUGGGUCAACUGCGGAACCCUAUCCAUGUUCUUCUCUUACUCAACAGCUUUUCACUACCCUCCCCCCAGAGUGCCCCAAUUCUAUUUCUCUUGUAAUUUUUCAUUCUUUGGUAACUUCUCAUUCAAGGCAAUGAAAGAUCACUAAUUAAAUGUAGAUGUUUUGUCAUUAGAUUAACCUUCUAGUCUGUCACUCCUAAACAUCCAAGGGCUUCCAGAGGCUCUCUGAUUCAUCGGCUCCUUCACUCUCUCAUUCAGCAAACAUCUCUGGAAUGCCUGCUACAUGCCAUCACUGUGCUUACUGGUAAGACUCCAUCCCCCUCAGCUUAAAUGAGAGCUCACAGUCUGGUGGGAAUAAUCAACCUGUAAAUAGACAAUUCUGGUGCAAUCAUGGAGCUAUUCGAGUAUGAUGGGAACAUAAAGGCUGGCAAAGGUAGAUCAUGGUGAGUCAGGGAAGACUUCCUGGAAGAAGUGGUUUGAGCUUAGUCUUUUUUCUUUCUUUUUUCCUUUUAUAGAUUUAGAGAGUACAAGUGCAGUUUUGUUACAGGGAUAUAUUGUGUAGUGGUGAAGUGUGGGCUUUUAGUGUCCCCAUCGCCCAAAGAGUGAACAAUGUACCCAAUAGGUAAAUUUUCAGCUCUCACCACCCCCCCUUUUUUCUCCCCUUUUUUGGAGCGCCCAUUGUCUGUUAUUUCCCUCUCUGUGUUCAUGUGUACCCAUUGUUUAGCUCUCAUAAGUGAGAACAUGUGGUAUUUGAUUUUCUGAGUUAUUACACUUAGGAUAAGGGCCUCUAGCUCUAUCCAUGUUGCUGCAAAAGACAUGAUCUCAUUCUUUUUUUGUUGUUUUUCUUUUCUUUUUUUAUUUUAUUUUUUAUUAUAUUUUAAGUUCUGGGGUACAUGUGCAGAACGUGCAGUUUUGUUACAUAGGUAUACAUGUGCCAUGGUGGUUUGCUGCACUCAUCAACCUGUCACCUACAUUAGGUAUUUCUCCUAAUGUGAUCCCUCCCCUAGCCCCCCACCCCCUGACAGGCCCUGGUGUGUGAUGUUCCCUCCCUGUGUCCAUGUGUUCUUCUUGUUCAACUCCCACUUAUGAGUGAGAACAUGCAGUGUUUUGUUUUCUGUUCUUGUGAUAGUUUACUGAGAAUGAUUGUUUCCAGUUUCAUCCAUGUCCCUGCAAAGGACAUGAACUCAUCCUUUUUUUAUGGCUGCAUAAUAUUAUUCCAUGGUGUGUAUAUGUGCCACAUUUUCUUUAUCCAGUCUAUCAUUGAUGGGCAUUUGGGUUGGUUGCAAGUCUUUGCUAUUGUGAAUAGUGCCACAAUAAACAUAUGUGUGCAUGUGUUUUUAUUGUAGAAUGAUUUAUAAUCCUUUGGGUAUAUACCCAGUAAUGGGAUUGCUGGGUCAAAUGGUAUUUCUAGUUCUAGAUCCUUGAGGAAUCGCCACACUGUCUUCCACAGUGGUUGAACUAGUUUACAGUCCCACCAACAGUGUCAAAGUGUUCCUAUUUCUCCACAUCCUCUCCAGCCCCUGUUGUUUCCUGACUUUUUAAUGAUUGCCAUUCUAACUGGCAUGAGAUGGUAUCUCAUUGUGGUUUUGAUUUGCAUUUCUCUAAUGACCAGUGAUGAUGAGCAUUUUUUCAUAUGUUUGUUGGCUGCAUAAAUGUCUUCUUUUGAGAAGUGUCUGUUCAUAUCCUUUGUCCCCUUUUUCAUGGGGUUUUUUUUUCUUGUAAAUUUGUUUAAGUUCUUUGUAGAUUCUGGAUAUUAGCCCUUUGUCAGAUGGGUAGAUUGCAAAAAUUUUCUCCCAUUUUGUAGGUUGCCUCUUCACUCUGAUGAUAGUUUCUUUUGCUGUGCAGAAGCUCUUUAGAUCUCAUUUAUCAAUUUUGGUUUUUGUUGCCAUUGUUUUUGGUGUUUUAGACAUGAAGUCUCUGCCCAUGCCUAUGUCCUGAAUGGUAUUGCACAGGUUUUCUUCUAGGAUUUUUAUGGUUUUUGGGUCUUACAUUUAAGUCUUUAAUCCAUCUUGAGUUGAUUUUUGUAUAAGGUGUAGGAAAGGGAUCCAGUUUCAGUUUUCUGCAUAUGGCUAGCCAGUUUUCCCCACACCAUUUAUUAAAUAGGGAAUCUUUUCCCCAUUGCUUGUUUGUGUCAAGUUUAUCAAAGAUCAGAUGGUUGUAGAUGUGUGGUGUUAUUUCCGAGGCCUCUGUUCUGUUCCAUUGGUCUAUAUAUCUGUUUUGGUACCGGUACCAUGCUGUUUUUGGUUACUGUAGCCUUGCAGUAUAGUUUGAAGUCAGAUAGCGUGAUUCCUCCAGCUUUGUUCUUAUUGCUUAGGAUUGUCUUGGCUAUGCAGGCUCUUUUUUGGUUCCAUAUGAAGUUUAAAGUAGUUUUUUCUAGUUCUGUGAAGAAAGUUACUGGUAGCUUGAUGGGGAUAGCAUUGAAUCUAUAAAUUAUUUUGGGCAGUAUGGCCAUUUUGACAAUAUUAAUUCUUCCUAUCCAUGAGGAUGGAAUGUUUUUCCAUUUGUUUGCAUCCUCUCUUAUUUCCUUGAGCAGUGCUUUGUAGUUCUCCUUGAAGAGGUCCUUCACAUCCUUUGUAAGUUGGAUUCCUAGGUAUUUUAUUCUCUUUGUAGCAAUUGUGAAUGAGAGUUCACUCAUGAUUUGGCUGUUUGUCUGUUAUUGGUGUAUAGGAAUGCUUGUGAUUUUUGCACACUGAUUCUGUAUCCUGAGACUUUGCUGAAGUUGCUUAUCAGCUUAAGGAGAUUUUGGGCUGAGACGAUGGGGUUUUCUAAAUAUACAGUCAUGUCAUCUGCAAACAGAGACAGUCUGACUUCCUCUCUUCCUAUUUGAAUACGCUUUAUUUCUUUCUGUUGCCUGAUUGCCCUGGCCAGAACUUCCAAUACUAUGUUGAGUAGGAGUGGUGAGAGAGGGCAUCCUUGUCUUGUGCUGGCUUUCAAAGGGAAUGUUUCCAGUUUUUGCCCAUUCAGUAUGAUAUUGGCCAUGGGUUUGUCAUAAAUAGCUGUUAUUAUUUUGAGAUAUGUUCCAUAGAUACCUAGUUUAUUGAGAGUUUUUAGCAUGAAGCGUUGUUGAAUUUUGUUGAAGGCCUUUUCUGCAUCUAUUGAGCUAAUCAUGUGGUUUUUGUCAUUGAUUCUGUUUAUGUGAUGGAUUAUGUUUAUUGAUUUGCGUAUGCUGAACCAGCCUUGCAUCCCAGGUAUGAAGCCAACUUGAUCAUGGUGGAUAAUCUUUUUGAUGUGCUGCUGGAUUCAGUUUGCCAGUGUUUUAUUGAGGAUUUUCGCAUCGAUGUUCAUCAGGGAUAUUGGCCUGAAAUGUUCCUUUUUUGUUAUGUCUCUGCCAGGUUUUGGUAUCAGAAUGAUGCUGGCCUCAUAGAGUGAGUUAGGGAGGAUUCCCUCUUUUUCUAUUGUUUGGAAUAGUUUCAGAAGGAAUCGUAGCAGCUCCUCUUUGUACCUCUGGUAGGUAGAAUUUGGCUGUGAAUCCAUCUGGUCCUGGACUUUUUUUGGUUGGUAGGCUAUUAAUUACUGCCUCAAUUUCAGAACCUGUUAUUGGUAUAUUCAGGGAUUCGACUUCUUCCUGGUUUAGACUUGGGAGGGUGUAUGUGUCCAGGAAUUUAUCCAUUUCUUCUAGGCUUUCUGGUUUAUUUGCGUAGAGGUGUUUAUAGUAUUUUCUGAUGGUAGUUUGUAUUUCUGUGGGAUCAGUGGUGGUAUCCCCUAUAUCAUUUUUUAUUGUGUCUAUUCGAUUCUUCUCUCUUUUCUUCUUUAUUAGUCUGGCUAGCGGUCUAUUGAUUUUGUUGAUCUUUUCAAAAAACCAACUCCUGGAUUCAUUGAUUUUUUGAAGGGAUUUUUCUGUCUCUAUCUCUGUCAGUUCUGCUCUGAUCUUAGUUAUUUCUUGUCUUCUGCUAGCUUUUGAAUUUGUUUGCUGUUGCUUCUCUAGUUCUUUUCAUUUUGAUAUUAGGGUGUCAAUUUUAGAUCUUUCCUGCUUUCUCUUGUGGGCAUUUAGUGCUAUAAAUUUCCCUCUAUACACUGCUUUAAAUGUGUCCCAGAGAUUCUGGUACGUUGUGUCUUCGUUCUCACUGGUUUCAAAGAACAUCUUUAUUUCUGCCUUCAUUUCGUUAUGUACCCAGUAGUCAUUCAGGAGCCGGUUGUUCAGUUUCCAUGUAGUUGUGCGGUUUUGAGUGAGUUUCUUAAUUCUGAGUUCUAAUUUGAUUGCACUGUGGUCUGAGAGACUGUUUGUUAUGAUUUCCAUUCUUUUGCAUUUGCUGAAGAGUGUUUUACUUCCAAUUAUGUUGUCAAUUUUAGAAUAAGUGCAAUGAGGUGCUGAGAAGAAUGUAUUUUCUGUUGAUUUGGGAUGGAGAGUUCUGUAGAUGUCUAUUAAGUCCACUUGGUCCAAGCUGAGUUCCAGUCCUGAAUAUCUUUGUUAAUUUUCUGUCUUGCUGAUCUGUCUAAUAUCGACAGUGGGGUGUUAAAGUCUCGCACUAUUAUUGUGUGGGAGUCUAAGUCUCUUUAUAGGUCUCUAAGAACUUGCUUUAUGAAUCUGGGUGCCCCUGUAUUGGGUGCAUAUAUAUUUAGGAUAGUUAGCUCUUCUUGUUGCAUUGAUCCCUUUACCAUUAUGUAAUGCCCUUCUUUGUCUCUUUUGAUCUUUGUUGGCUUAAAGUCUGUUUUAUCAGAAAGUAGGAUUGCAACUCCUGCUUUGUUUUGCUUUCCAGUUGCUUGGUAAAUAUUCCUCCAUCCCUUUAUUUUGAGCCUUUGUGUGUCUUUGCACAUGAGAUGGGUCUCCUAAAUACAGCACAUUGAUGAGUCUUGACUCUUUAUCCAAUUUGCCAGUCUGUGUCUUUUAAUUGGGGCAUUUGGCCCAUUUCCAUUUAAGGUUAAUAUUGUUAUGUGUGAAUUUGAUCUUGUAAUUAUGAUGCUAGCUGGUUAUUUUGCCCAUUAGUUGAUGCAGUUUCUUCAUAGUGUCAAUGGUCUUUAUAAUUUGGCAUGUUUUUGCAGUGGCUGGUACCAGUUGUUCCUUUCCAUGUUUAGUGCUUCCUUCAGGAGCUCUUGUAAGGCAGGCCUGGUGGUGACAAAAUCUCUCAGCAUUUGCUUGUCUGUAAAGGAUUUUAUUUCUCCUUCACUUAUGAAGCUUAGUUUGGCUGGAUAUGAAAUUCUGGGUUGAAAAUUCUUUUCUUUAAGAAUAUUGAAUAUUGGCCCCCACUCUCUUCUGGCUUGUACGGUUUCUGCUGAGAGAUCCGCUGUUAGUCUGAUGGGCUUCCCUUGAUCGGUAACGCGAUCUUUCUCUCUGGCUGCCCUUAACAUUUUUUCGUCAUUUCAGCCUUGGUGAAUCUGACAAUCAUGUGUCUCAGGGUUGCUCUUCUCGAGUAGUAUCUUUGUGGCAUUCUCUGUAUUUCCUGAAUUUGAAUGUUGGCCUGUCUUUCUAGCUUGGAGAAGUUCUCCUGGAUAAUAUCCUGAAGAGUGUUUUCUAACUUGGUUUCAUUCUCCCUGUCACUUUCAGGUACACCAAUCAAACGUAGGUUUGGUAUUUUCACAUAGUCCCAUAUUUCUUGGAGGCUUUGUUUGUUCCUUUUCAUUCUUUUUUCUCUAGUCUUGUCCUCUCAUUUUAUUUCAUUAAGUUGAUCUUCAAUCAUUGAUAUCCUUCCUUCUGCUUGAUGGAUUCAGCUAUUGAUACUUGUGUAUGCUUCACGAAGUUCUUGUGCUGUGUUUUUCAGCUCCGUCAGGUCAUUUAUGUUCUUCUGUAAACUGGUUAUUCUAGUUAGCAAUUCAUCUAACCUUUUUUCAAGGUUCUUAGCUUCCUUGCAUUGGGUUAGAACAUGCUCUUUUAGCUCAGAGGAGUUUGUUAUUACCCACCUUCUAAAGCCUACUUCUGUCAGUUCGUCAAACUCAUUCUCUGUCCAGUUUUGUUCUCUUGCUGGCAAGGAGUUGUGAUCCUUUGGAGGAGAAGAGACGUUCUGGUUUUUGGAAUUUUCAGCCUUUUUGCGCUGGUUUCUCCCCAUCUUUGUGAAUUUAUCCAUCUUUGGUCUUUGAUGUUGGUGACCUUCGGAUGGUGUCUUUGAGUGGAUGUAUUAUUCCUUUCUGUUUGUUAGUUUUCCUUCUAACAGGCUCCUCUGCUGCAGAUCUGCUGGAGUUUGCUGGAGGUCCACUCCCGACCCCGUUUGCCUGGGUAUCACCAGCAGAGGCUGCAGAACGGCAAAGAUUGCUGCCUGUUCUUUCCUCUGGAAGCUUCAUCCCAGCAGGGCACCUGCCAGAUGCCAGCCAGAGCUCCUGUCUGAGGUGUCUGUCAGCCCCUACUGGGAGGUAUCUCCCAGUCAGGAUACACAGGGGUCAGGGACCCACUUGAGGAGGCAGUCUGACUCUUAGCAGAGCUUGAACGUUGUGCUGGGAGAUCUGCUGCUCUCUUCAGAGCUGUCAGGCAGGAACGUUUAAGUCUGCCGAAGCUGCACCCACAGCCGCCCCUUCCCCCAGGUGCUCAGUCCCAGGGAGAUGGGGGUUUUAUCUAUAAGUCCCUGACUAGAGCUGCUGCCUUUUUUUCAGAGAUGCCCUGCCCAGAGAGGAGAAAUCUGGCAGUCUGGCCACAGCAGCCUUGCUGAGCUGCAGUGGGCUCUGCCCAGUUCCAACUUCCUGGCUGCUUUGUUUACACUGUGAGCAGAAAACUGCCUACUCAAGCAUCAGCAAUGGCGGACGCCCCUCCCCCCACCAAGCUCAAGCGUCCCAGGUGGAUCUCAGAUUGCUGCUGUGUUGGCAGUGAGAAUUUCAAGCCAGUGGAUCUUAGUUUGCUGGGUUCUGUGGGGAUGGGACCCACUGAGCCAGACCACUUGGCUCCCUGGCUUUAGCACCCCUUUCCAGGGGAGUGAACAGUUCUGUCUCGCUAGCAUUCCAGGUGCCACUGGGGUAUGAAAAAAAAAAACAAAAAAACUCCUGCAGCUAGUUUGGUGUCUGCCCAAACGGCCGCCCAGUUCUGUACUUGAAACCCAGUGCCCUGGUGGAGUAGGCACCAGAGGGAAUCUCCUGGUCUGUGGGUUGCGAAGACCAGGGGACAAGUGCAGUAUCUGGGCCAGAAUGUGCAUGGCUCCUCAGGCUCAGUCCCUCAUGGCUUCCCUGGGGUAGGGGAGAAAAAUUCCUCUACCCUUUGCGCUUCCGGGGUCAGCCAACGCCCCACCCUGCUUUGGUUCACCCUCCAUGGGCUGCACCCACUGUCCAACCAGUCCCAAUGAGAUGAACUGGGUACCUCGGUUGGAAAUGCAGAAGUCACCCACCUUUUGCGUCGAUCUUGCUGGGAGCUGCAGACCAGAGCUGUUCCUAUUCAGCCAUCUUGCCAGCAAUGAUCUCAUUCUUUUUUAUGGCUGCAUAGUAUUUCAUGGUGUGUGCAUAUACACACACACUCAUAUAUAUUUUAUACACACACACACACGCCCCACAUUUUCUUUAUCCAGUCGUUUGUUGAUGGACACUUAGGUAGGUUCCAUGACUUUGCUAUUGUGAAUAGUGCUAUAAUAAACAUGCAAGUGCAGGUAUCUUUUUAAUAUAAUGAUUUCUUUUCCUUUGGGUAGAUGCCCAGUGGUGGGAUUAAGCUUAAUCCUAAUGGCAAAAUAGAAGUUAGUCAGGUGGGGAUGGCAAGUAGAAGAAAUGUUGGGCAAAGGAGACUAUGAACAAAGUAAGAAACAGCAUGAUAUGUGCAGGCACCUGAGGGUAAAGUGUGAGACCAAAGGUGGUAGAAAGUGAGGUGUGAGAGGAAAGCAGGGAUGGGGAAGCUGAAAUGGGAUUUUGUAAGGAAGAGGUUUUCAGCCUGGGAGUCCUAACUCACUGGGGUGCAGCCAAACAAUGUGUUACUAAUAAUAAAGUGUUAGGUUUGUAAUGGCUUUACUCCUUUAGAAACCUAAAUUAGAGCAGAUUCAAGGUUAUCCCUAGAAUAUGGUGACUGUCCCCCACUGGCAUUCCAUAUGCUUUCUUGAGAGAGAGAAAGGGAUGGAGCGAGGGCUAGAAGCCAGUGCUUGAGCAUAACUCUUUGUUCACCUUAUCCAAGCAGCAAGCUAGUGGCUACAGUAGUAACAAACUGCUGCUGUGCUUUACUUCCUUACCAGGUCUUUCAGGUUUCAUGAAAUCUAAGUGUACCCAGAAGACAGUACACCUCUGUGCAAGCACAUCGCCCAUCUUGAUAGUCACAGAGGAUGGCAGCUGCGUAAAAUGGGGAGCCAUGGAAAUGUUUCCAUGCUGUGGGCUGUGUGCAUUUUGUGGUGGCUCCUCUGGCUCCAGUGAUUGAACAUCCUGUGGGUAUGGAAAUCUCUGCUGCACACUCCCAGUGUACUUAUAUUUCAAAUCAACUAUAUGCUUAUUGCUCCACUAAUAUAUUAUAUCUAUUUAAAAACAUUGUCCAAAAUAUAAACAGUAAAAGGAUAAAAUAGAAAAGGGAUUAAAGCAUUUAAAAUAAUUUUAUUUACUUAUAAUAGACAAACCUAAUGAUUGAAUACACCUAAUUAUUCUGUUUAAGUUUUGGUUUAAUACUUGCAAUACAGUGAUUUGCAGGUCUUGUUCUCAGUGUAUUUCAGUUCUUGCUUGUAGUGGCUGAUAUAGCUGGAAAAGGCCUUAUAAAGAUAUGGAACUCCAAAUGGAAGCACACUUACUAAUCAUGAGACUCCGUGCUCAAUUCUAUUAGUAAUGACACAAAUGUCUUUGAUGAAAUUCAAGUUGGUAAAUAUGUUUCAUCCCUGAUAUCAAUCAGUUGUUCUUGCAGGCUAACUGGAAGAGAUAUGUACUUUUUGUCGUGUUAACAAAUAGUUGCCGUUAUCUGCUGAACCUCUUUUCUAAAAAACGUAAAAUAGGUUAGUAAAUGCCAAGCUUUUAAAGUGUUCUGAUACCCAUGUGUGUACACAUGACCCCCUUACGUUAUUUUUGGCAAUAAAAUCACAAGAUGAUGGAACCAUUUUUAAACAUCUAUUUUUAAAGUUCUCUUCGAUAGGGGUUUCUUUUGAAAAGUAGUUAUUUUUUCAUUCAUUGUUAAAAUGUUAUCUUUACCUUGAGGAAACUGAGUAAGUGUAUUUAUUUUUUAAAAAACAACUGCAAGAUAGCAUACUGAGGAUUCAUCAAAGAAAAGGGCAGCAUAUGUGGAAGAAAAAAUAUGCCUCUUACUUAAAUUUGGCAAUUUGAAAAUUGGCCUGAUUGGAUUUUGGAACGAGUGAGAGAAGGGAGUCCAGGAUAAAUUCCUAGCUUUCUAGCUUGGACAACUGCUUGAAUGGUGGUGUCACCAAAUGAAGUAGAGAGAGGAAGAAAACAGGAGCCAGUUUAGGAAGAUGAUGAAAAAACAAGUUGAACUGGUAGUUGAUGAGUUCAAGUGCCCACAGGACUUCCUGCUAUUAUUUCAUGCCUGACAUACUGAAAAUCAAACUCAUCCUUGGCUUUAUGUCCUGAAUUUACAUUUUCUCUCUGUUCUCCUAUCUCUGUCCAUGGCACCAACCUCUCUAGGUACUUAAGGGUAAACAUGUUGGAGCCAUAUAUUGAAACGGGAAAGGUUCCCUUGUCCCCCUUGCAGGGCGUGCAAGGGGCGUGUGGCUUGCUUCUUCAGUGCCCCGCUCCUCAGAGCUCUAGGGGAGCAUACAGACUGGCAGGCUGUGGGGCUCCGACCCCACGGCAGUGUCUAGGGGUAAAUGUUUACAGCUCCUCAAGCCCCAGUGGGCAUGUGUUAAAGGGUGCUCUCUUAGUUUGCCGUCUAUAGGCAGCUUGCGUUAACCAGCUCGAUGAACCUUGUGGCAAGGGCAGAGGGAUUUCCAUAUCCCAGGGUUUCUUGCCUUGAUGUACCGGAAGAAUCGGAUCACACAUGGGCUUGGAGAAUGAAUGCAAGGUUUUAUUGAGUAGAAGUAGCUCUUCGCUGAUGGACAAGCCAGAAGGGAGAUAGUUUUCCCCUGGAGUUGGGCCGCUGGGUGCCCUUGCUCUCCUCAGAGUGCCCUGGCUAAGCUCCACCUCGACCUGCAAGUCGAUGGCCUGCAGUGUCUGUCGGUGUGCUCUUCUGCCAGCAUGCUCCCCUCGAUGUCCUCUCGCCAUCCAGCCACUUGUGCCUACUUCCAAUGACGUGUUCCUCUCGACGUCCAGCCACCUCUCUCUGCCUCGCUAGGGUCUCAGGUUUUUGUAGGCCCAGGAUGGGGGUGUGGUGGGCCAGGGUGAUCUUGGGAAAUGUAACAUUUGGGCACAUAGGCAGAAGUGCCUGUCCUCACCAAGGUCUGUGGGGGUGAAGCCCUAGCCAGGGACCCGCCCUCCUCUACCCAGCACUUCCCUGUCCCUCUUCCGUAUCGUUUAAAGGGAACACACUCUUCCCUUCCCAGCACUCCUGAUUCAUCCUUCUGUUUCCUUCUCUAUCCAAUGAGUAACUGAGGACUUUCCAGUUUUAUUUGUUCCUUCUAUAUGUAUUUAUUGAGCACCUCCUGUGUGCCAGGUACUCAUCUAGGCCCUGGGAAUGUAAGUGGGCAGAAGACAGACAGAGUGCUGGUUGUCAUGGAGCUUAUAUUCCAGGUGGAGAAAAUAGAUGAUAAAUAAAUAUGUAAACAUGUAAAUAAGAAACUCAUGAAAUUUUGUUAAGUGCUCAGUAAAGAAUUGAAGCAAAGUCAUAUAAUGCUGCCUGGAUGGCGCUAUAGAUGGGGUGGGCACAGAAAAGCUCUCUGAGGUGGUGCCAUUGAAUGGUGAGCUCUGAGUCCUUGUACUAUCAGGGGAAAGAUCUUUUCGGGCAGAAGGGCCCAAGCUCUCCAUGAGCACAGUGAGUUGUAGGAACAACGGGAAAGCCAGGAUGGCUAAGGCUUGGUGGUGGUGGAGUGACCCAAAAGUUAUGGCUUUUCUUGAAUCACUGCUACUCUGUUCCCAUGCUCACCACUUCAUGCCUGGCCUGUUAAAAUGUCCUUUAAUUUCUCCCCACCUUAACUCUCUCCUUGAAAUUAUUUUGCACAUGAGUACCUGGUUUGCCUUCACUAUGCCGUGAUAAAAAGCCAUCAGUAGCUGGAAGCUGUAGGUUGGCCUUUGGGGGUCAGGAACACACAUACACAGCUCUUCAACUGGGGCUCCUGUGAGGUUUCCAAGAGGCUUCGGGAGGAAAUGAAGUCUCUUGUUACCCUCUCAUGUUUACCCACCCUACAUAUUGGUUUUCAAUUACUCUUGUAACAAAUGACUACAAACUUCGUGGCUUAAAACAGCAUGGAUUUAUUCCCUUACAGUUCUGGGGCCAGACAUCUGAAGUGGGUCUUAUUAGGCUUAGAAGCAAUGUCCUCAGGACUGUGCUUCUUUCAGUAGGCUCUGUGGGAGAAUCUGUUUCCUUACCUUUCCCACCUCUAGAGGCUGCCUGCGUUUCUUAGCCAUGGCCCCUUCCUGCAUCUUUAAAGCCAGCAGGGCAGCCUCUUCCAGUCUCUCUCUGACUCUGACCCUCACUCUCUUGCUUCCUACUUUCACUUAUAAGGACCCUUGUGAUCACGUUGGGGCAUCUGGAUAAUCCAGAACAGGAAAAUCUCCCCAUCUCAAGGUUAACCACUGAUUAGUAACAAUAUACUUCAUAUAUAUGAACAGAAAUGUACAUAUGUAUACAUGUCUAUGUUAUAUUACCAUAUAAAUAUCAUAUCUCAUGUGCAAAAAGAAUGCAUUCACAGGUUCUGAGGAUUGGGAUGUGGGCAUCUUUAGGGGUUCAUUAUUCUACCUAGCACAUCCUGCUUCUUUGAUGUAUUGGGUUUUAUCAGAUAUUUGUGGCUCAUAAGGACUUCCUUCAAAUGGAAAGGCCACUACUAAGACUAAGAGGAGGCCUAUCAUGGAAUCUCAGUAGGAGAUUGCUUUGACUUUGUGAACACGGUGGAGCUCUGCCCAUCAAUGAGGCAGGAUUACUUGCUUUUCCUGCAAGGGCAGCUGAAUGUGGGAUGGUGGGAAUAGCAGUAGCUAUUCCCUUGUAUAUUCUAUCCAAGGCUAUUGGCUAUUCUAUGCUUUGGGUAGAACUCGAACAGCAGAGAAUAUUUAUUUAUCUCAUUUAUUUUCUAUCCUGAUGGAGAGGUGGAUGAGUUGGCCUUUAAGGUGCCCCCAGUCUUGAGAGUUUAUUAUUUUCCUGUCUGAUGAGAUGGCCUCCAAGACAAAAUGAAUGGCUGAGGGAUAUGGAAUAGGAAAUCACGUUAGGUAGCAUAAGUGCUAACCUCUUGAAAGAGAUUAUUAAAUUUAAUUAGUGGACAUAUUCUGUCUGCUCCACACUUGAGAAUUUAUAGGAAAAGAGAUACCAGAACGCUCCUUAGUGAGACAUUCUUUUGUUGUCUUCAACCUCUAAGUAAUGUCUACCUGCCAGAAAAGCUAUUCUUUGGCAGGAAAUGCAAGUAAAAUCCCAUUAUAUUGAUCUCCAUUGGACAAUGACCAUAUGUACUGAAUUUCUGGAAUAGUUCUCAUUUCAUGUAUUUUAUUCUUUUCAAUAAGGAAUUAAUUAAAUGUAUAACUAAAUGUAAUUUAAUUUUAUAUCUUGGUAAGACAUUUCAUACAAAUAAUUUCACAAAUCAGGAAAAGAUUUUCUGUCUUUAUCUUAGUUUUUAUUUUGGGCAAAUGCAAUUGAACAUCUAUUUUCCUGGUGGUGAAAUUUUUUGCCUGGAUAAUUAUACUGCUACAAAACACCCGUCAUCUGUGGAGCUAAAGACAAACAAAACUUAUUUCCAGUCUCUGUGUAUAAGCAGCAAAUUUGUACCUGGUAAUAAAUUUACCUUGAAAAAAGUAAAAGAAAUGAAAAAAAAAGAAAUGCUAAGAAUAAUGACAUCCAAUGUGUAUCAAAUACUCACCAUAAUGUAGGCACUGGAAUAAGUACUUUACAUGUAUAGCUUUGUUUCAGUUUUAAAAAUGAAAGCUCUGUGAAGUAAAUAUGUUCUCCCUGCCCUUAUUGUAGAGGUGGAGGCUGAUAGGGCACUUGGAGCAAAGUUGUCCUAACAAUGUACAGAGUUAGAAAGGAGAGAAUUGAUAUUUGGGUUAAUUCACUGCGUCAACCCCAAGCCUUUCUUCCUCUAAGCAUCCUAGGGAUAGAUAGGUAGGUUUUGAGGGAGGAGGUGUGGUUGGGGUGACUGAAGUGGAAUUACGGUGAUGGUCUAUGAGAAUUAGAGCCCUUGGACUACAGAGAGAACCAAGAGUUUCUCAGCAGAUCAGGUUCCAAGAACCUCGAUGUCUGGGGCUGCAGAGUUCUUGCUUUGACGUCUUCUGUGAUAAAGAUCUGGUCAGUCAUUCCAAUCUGCCCUAUUCCAGAAAAUGGCUCACCAUCCAUGCAGCCACUGAAACCUAAGCUAGGAGUCAUCUGAAAUUCUUUUUUUUCCACCUCAAAUCCUAUGCAUCAGCAAGUUCUGGGCUGUCCUACUACAAAAUACAUCUAGAAUCUGGUUCUUCUAUUGUCUUAAGUUUGUUUGUGCAGCUAAAACAAAAGACUACAGUUUGAGCAGCUUAUAAACAAUAAACAUUUAUUUCUCAUGGUUCUAGAGGCUGGAAGUCCUGCAUCAAGGUGCCAGUAGAUUUGGUUAGGGCCCACUUUCUGAUUCAUGGAUGGCACCUUCUUGCUGCUUCCUCACCUGGUGGAACAGGCAAACGAGCCCCUCAGGCUCUUUUAUAAGAGCACUAAUACCAUUUAUGAGAGCUCCCCACUCAUGACCUAAUCACCUCCUAAAGGCCUUACCUCUUAAUAUGAUCAUAUUGGGGAUUGGAUUUCAAUGUAUGAAUUUUGGGGGCCACAAACAUUUGGACUGUAACAUCUGUCCAUCCUAAUGACUGUCACCCUCCCAAAGGUUCAUCUGCUCUCUCUCCUGAACUACCACAACAGCUUCCUAACCAGCCUCCCUGCUUCCACACAAUCCCACCCCAAAGUCAUCUUCUAAAAACAUAAAUCAGAUCAAGCUCUCCUCUGCUUGACCUUUGUCAACAUCUUCCUUGUGCCCUUAGAAUAAAAGCCCCACCUCCUAGCAUGGCUCACAGGCCCCAAAUGAACUGGAUCCUGUCUGUGUCUCUAAACUCAUAUUGUAUCCCCUAGGUUCUUUUCCACCUCAGGGCCCCCACCAUCCCCUCUACUGAAAUCACCUUCUUCCUUAGGUAUUUAACAUUAGCUCUUCAAGAGGGCCUCAGACAAGCAUGCCUCCACGUGCAUCCCUCAAAUACUCUGUCACAUAACCCCUUCCAUUUUUUAUGUGGCAGUUAUUGCAAUCUGUUAUUAUUUUGUUUGUAAGUUGGUUGUUCUUUUGUUUAUCUCUCCCACUAGAGGGCUGGACAUCAUCUGCCUGAAUCCUCAGAGCCUAGCACAGUGCCUGACAAAUUAGGGGUUCAUUGAUUAUUUGUGAAAUAAAUUAUAGAAUGCAUCAUGAUGAUUUUUUGAAGUAUUAUUAUGCUCUUAAGGACAGGUGCAUAUAUUGGAUGCACUUUGGUAUGUCUGUCCAGCUUGUAAUAACACUCUUAAUUGGGUGCCUGGAGUCAGAGGAAAUGGCCCCCAGGAACAUCUAGGUGCAUGUGCCCCUGACCUCUGGCUCCAGUGGAUUGGCAGCUGACCCAGAUGGGGUCAACUGAAAUUGCAACUCUGGUAAUUUGCAUUUGGGACUGGAGAGAAGUAUGGUUGGACUAUGAGUCCUCAGGAGACCUGGGGCAGUCAUGAGCUCUGCUCUAUGGGCUGGGACCAGAGAAGGCUGGUGAGCAGAGGAAGAGAGGAGACUGAGCAGAUGUGCAAAGAGAAAGGGUGACGUGAGACCCAGGGAGACAGUUGGGAUGGAUUUCCAGUAUCUUCUUGCUGCUCAUCUGACCUCCUAGCCUUGGGUUGAGGAAAAUAUCACCUCCCUGCCCUCCAAAUGCCAUUCCGGGGUAAAGCCAGUGUGUUAAGGACGCUUCGGUCCAUUUGACACUUUGUGAAAACAAAUUCACCAUUUCCAUGUUGGUUCUGCUUCAGCACACAUUGCUCCGUGCCACUUUCACCUCAUGUGAUGAUAGAUGGCUUGCUCUUGAGCUGGAAACUGUGUGUAAGUGACAAGGUUUCUUGAAAAAGAAAAUGGAGAAAAAGAAGUGAGAGGUGAACAUCUCUGUGGCAUCCCCUGUAAGGAGAGAGGGCCGUGAGCUAUGAAAAAGCAGGUGCAGUAAGCCGGGGAGCUGGGAACGGGAGACUCAGAGAAUAUAAAAUGUCUGGUUACAAGAUAUGAGUUUCGAAGCAGCAGAGUGAAUCUCCUCAGGUGAUGGAUCAUUAUGCUGAAAUCAGUCUUCACAAUGGAAGACAAUGUUAGCAAAAAUGAAAUAUUCCCUCUGAACCAGGGGUUUAAAGUAUAGUAGGCCACUCCAUGGUAGUGACAAUCAAUGUCAACUCAGUUUAAGAACAUACAAUCUUCUCUUAGCCUGACCUCAUUAAACCUGAUACUAAUGAGAGACUAAAGUCCAACAGCCAUGCAUGGGAGUUUAAUAUUGCUACAAUCACAGCGAUUCAAAAGUCCUUUAUCAGCAAAGGCAUGGGGAAAAACAUGUUGGCUUCUCAGCAUUGCAACCGGCUGUAAAGUAUCUCUCAACGAGUCCACCAAGGUGUGAAAAUCAAAAGCCCAGCAGGAGCUAUUUAUAUUGGAAGAUUAUUAGGCAUUAGCCGCACAGAGGAAUUGCCUCAGAAAAUGCUGCGCCUGACUAGAUACUUCCAUGGUAAAACCCAGAAAACACUGAGCUCUCCAGAAUAAUUUUCAUUCUUACAAGAACGUGCACCUCUGCUUGGAGUGUCAUCUCUCCUGCCAUGUGUGCCUGGACAGGCUGGGGAGGGAAAGUGGACUCCAAGGACAUGGGGGAGUUGAAUAUCAGUUAGUUUUGUACACAUCAGCAGACCUCCUGCUACUUCCACAACAAGGACUUUUAAAACCUGAGGUAAGGCUGGUAUAUACAGUUCAUGUGUGCUUAUGAAGACGUGCACAAGCAUGGCCUGGAGAAGCGUGGCCCCAGGAAAAGCUAGGCAUCUGCUCUGGCAUCCUGGCCCUGCUGGAAUAAUAGCCCCAAGUUUUGGCUGGGGCGAGUCUGUUUGCCAAAAGAGAGGUUUUAAGGCCUAGAGCAGUGUUUCCGAAACAGACCUCGACUGGGUGUUAGUAUGUGUAAGGAGAUAAAAGGAUUACAUGGGCAAUGUCUGUGAGAUACUGAGCUAAAUAAGUUAAAUUAAAAAUUAAAAUGAAUGCAUGUAAUAUUAAUGCAUACAAAAAAUUUACACACACACACACACGCACGCACACACACACACAAUAAAGAACAAUAAAAACCCAGCUUAACAAAUACACUACCAAUCCCAGAGAAUCCCCUGGUUGCCCCUUUCUGAUUGUAGCCUCCUCUUUUCCCCAGAGUAAUCAGUAUUCUGAAUUUUGUGUUUGAGUUUUGUUUUUCAUAAUGGUUCUACUAUAGGUAUAUAAAUAUAUAUCGUUAAAUAAUAUAUUUUAAAUUUGUAUAUGCUUUUGGGCUGGGCAUGGUGCCUUAUACAUGUAAUCUCAGCAAGGUGGGAGGAUUGCUUGAGGCCAGGAGUUCAAGACCAGCCUGAGCAACUUAGUGAGACCAUAUCUCUAUAAAAAAUUUUUGAAAAAAUAUUAGCCAGGCAUGGUGGCACAUGCCUGUAGUCCCAGGCUACUCAGGAGGCUGAGGAAGGAGGAUCACUUGAGCCCAGGAGAUCAAGGCUGCAGUGAGCCCAGAUGGUGCCACUGUGCUCUAGCCUGGGUGACAGAUCAAACCCUGUCUCAAAAAAAAAAUUUUUUUAAAAAGCUUUUGAAUUAGCUUUAUAAAAAAGCAUGCAGUGGAUAUUCUUCUAAGACUUGUCCUUUAUUCCAUUCUGUGUUUCUGGACUUCAUCUCUGUUGAUAAACAUAGCUGUAGUUCAUUUUCAUUGCCAUUAUUCAUUUUGUUUAUGAACAAUUCAUUUGCCAUUUAGUGUCUGAUUAAUAUUAUUUUGGCUUUGGUGUUUUGCCAUCACAAACAAUGGUACUAGGAACUUUCUGGUAAACGUUUUUUAGAGCACAUGUACAAGAAUUUCUCUAGGGUAUGUAUCAGUGGGUGUGAGGGUAGGUACAUCUUCACCUUUAUAGGAUAAACCAAAUUGUGAUCCAAAGGGAUGGUUCUAAUUUUCAUUCAGUCUAACAGGCUUUAAAUGUCAUUGCUCCGUAUCUGCGUCGACACUUGGCAGUGUCAGACUUGAAUUUUUUGCCCAUCUCAUUGUGAUUUUGGUUCUCACCUCCUUUAUUACUAGUGAAUUUCAGCAUCUUUUCAUAUAUUUAUUGGUUGUUUGAGUUUCCUCUUCUGUAAAUGCUAUUAUCCACAUUCUUGCCCAAUUUCUAACUGGGUUGUCUUUUCCUUAUUGACUUUUAGGGGUUCUUUAUGCUUUCUUCAUUGUAAUUCUUAAGUUACGUAUUUGAAAAAUUUUUUCUGUCAAUUUGUGAUUCAUGUUUUCACUUUCUUAAUGAUGUUCUCUCAUGAAGAGAAGUUUUACAUUUUAAUAGAGAUGAAUGUAUCAAUCUUUUAUGUUAUGGUUGUGCUUUUGGGGUCCAAUUUAAGAAAGUUUCCCUACAAGAGAUUAAAAAUAUUGUCCUAAAUGUUUUAUAAUCUUGCUUUUCCCACUAAGUCUCUAAUCUCUGUUUUUGUGCGUAGAUUUCUUUACAAACUCAGGACUUCCCUCAGUUGCCAGUAUGCAUUGUGGACCCCCGCCCCCUGAAGGAAGACAGAAUACAGCAUUUUUCUGUUGUAUUUGGCCUUGGAUUUCUUUUUCAGAGGCAUCUCUAGGGAUAUCUUAGAACAUACUCUGGGAACCACUGUUCUGUAGAGUAGAAAAAAAUUAAAACUCACUUUCUACCUACAUUCUUGACUGAUUCUGGGAUCCUGAAUCAAUUGCUGGGUCAAUCGUUUGUGAUUUGUUUUACUUAUUUUGAAAAUAAAGACCUUAUUACCUAAACUAAAAGAUAAAAGACAAUAUAAUUAUUAAUAUGCAUAGAGAACAACAGCUAGAGUGAAAGUAUUAAUGUGCAAAAAGUGUUAAAAUUAUGUGCGUCUGUGUGUGUUUUGUUUUUUUUUUCAGACAGGUCUCACUCUGUUGCCCAGGCUGGAGUGCAGUGGGACGAUCUCAGCUCACUGCAACCUCUGCCUCCUGGGCUUAAUCGAUUCUCAUGCUUCAGCCUCCCGAGUAGCUGGGAUUACAGGCAUGUGCUACCACGCCUGGCAAAUUUUUGUAUUUUGGGUAGAGAUGGGGUUUCACCAUGUUGGCCAGGCCGGUCUCAAACCCUUGACCUCAGGUGAUCUGCCUGCUCAGCCUCCCAAAGUGAAAAAUAUGAAUGUAUGAAUAUUCUCCGUCUCUUCAUUCUACACCACUUGCUUGGGGAUAGGAGUGUUGCAUGGAAGAUUUUUGCCUGCUGGAUUCCCCCUAGGCUUUUCUGGUGGAGAAUCUGGGGCAUAGCUGUAUGGAAGGAAGGCAGAAAGCCAAAAUGAUAUAUGCAAUAAAGAGCUUGAGGAGAAGAGGUGGUACACAGGGGAUGGGGGAGAAGACAGAUAUAGACAAGCUUUAAGUCCUGAGUGUUGGAGAGGGGUUGGGUGGAGAGUUGAGAGGGAGGAGUUGAUAAAGAGGCUCCAAAACAACCACAUGUGAGAAUGUGAGAGUGUGAGAGAACUUGAGAGGUACAGUAAGGGGGGGACUAUCAGAAAUGUGCUGUGAAUUGGCCAAGCAUAUGGCUCAUGCCUGUAAUCCCAGCACUUUGGGAGGCUGAGGCAGGCAGAUCACCUGAGGUCAGGAGUUCAAGACCAGCCUGGCCAACAUGGUGAAAUCCCGUCUUUAGUAAAAAUACAAAAAUUAGCUGGGCAUGGUGGUGGGCACCUAUAAUCCCAGCUACUUGGGAGGCUGAGGCUGGAGAAUCGCUUGAACCCAGGAGGUGGGAGUUGCAGUGAGCAGAGAUCACGCCAUUGCACUCCAGCCUGGGUGACAAGA
Molecule: long non-coding RNA, 30670 nt
Filed under: Homo sapiens (human)
Lineage: Eukaryota; Metazoa; Chordata; Mammalia; Primates; Hominidae
Description: non-protein coding lnc-LARP1B-1:27
Source: RNAcentral